Molecule: ribosomal RNA, 403 nt
Filed under: bacterium
Lineage: Bacteria
Also listed under: 2 other names
Description: partial 16S ribosomal RNA
Rfam family: Bacterial small subunit ribosomal RNA
Source: RNAcentral
UGGGGAAUAUUGCACAAUGGAGGGAACUCUGAUGCAGCGACGCCGCGUGAACGAAGAAGGCUUUCGAGUCGUAAAGUUCUUUUAUAUGGGAAGAUAAUGACGGUACCAUAAGAAAAAGCCCCGGCUAACUACGUGCCAGCAGCUGCGGUAAUACGUAGGGGGCUAGCGUUGUCCGGAAUCACUGGGCGUAAAGGGUUCGCAGGCGGAAAUGCAAGUCAGGUGUAAAAGGCAGUAGCUUAACUACUGUAAGCAUUUGAAACUGCAUAUCUUGAGAAGAGUAGAGGUAAGUGGAAUUUUUAGUGUAGCGGUGAAAUGCGUAGAUAUUAAAAAGAAUACCGGUGGCGAAGGCGACUUACUGGGCUCAUUCUGACGCUGAGGAACGAAAGCGUGGGUAGCAAACAGG